This 390-nucleotide ribosomal RNA is filed under the name uncultured archaeon. RNAcentral describes it as "bacterial SSU rRNA". It matches the Rfam family "Archaeal small subunit ribosomal RNA", at positions 85 to 476 of the family's 1478-position model. The record is from RNAcentral.
ACGGCUCAGUAACACGUGGACAACGUGCCCUUAAGUGGAGGAUAACCUCGGGAAAUUGAGGAUAAUACUCCAUAGAUCAUGGAAUCUGGAACGAUUCAUGGUUCAAAGUUCCGGCGCUUAAGGAUCGGUCUGCGGCCUAUCAGGUAGUAGUGGGUGUAACGUACCUACUAGCCUAUGACGGGUAUGGGCCUUGAGAGAGGGAGUCCAGAGUUGGAUUCUGAGACACGAAUCCAGGCCCUACGGGGCGCAGCAGUCGCGAAAACUUCACAAUGGGCGCAAGCCCGAUGAGGGAACUCCUAGUGCUAGCACUUUUGUGUUAGCUUUUCUUUAGCGUAGAUAACUAAAGGAAUAAGGGCUGGGUAAGACGGGUGCCAGCAGCCGCGGUAAUAC